Long non-coding RNA from Acinonyx jubatus (cheetah), 1037 nucleotides. RefSeq lists it as uncharacterized. The transcript has 3 exons. The record is from RefSeq and is a predicted model, not a curated record. NCBI's taxonomy places the organism in Eukaryota, Metazoa, Chordata, Mammalia, Carnivora, Felidae.
AUUCACCGCUUGCCGCAGUUUUUCUCUCUUCUGCCACAGGCUUGACAUAAGAAAGACACCAAUGAAAGAAAAAAAUCCUUGUCUGCAGAGCCCAGCCCUAAGACACUUUCCUUCAGGAAAAAGCGGACCCAUGAGGAUCUGAUGGUCAUCCUGGGGCGAGGCCACCGGGCGGCUGUCGGGGGGGCCAGCUCUGCACAGCGCCACCUCAUUGUCUGUGGCCGUCACGGACAUCAUGAGGCUCGGGCUCCCCGAGGAAUGGACGUGAAGCAACGAGCAAGCACCCUCACUAAACAGGAGCAGGCGCUCAGGGCGCUGCUGCCGAUCUUAAGGAAGAUCCUGUUCCCCGAACGAGUGCCAGCUGCGGCGUGGGGUCCUCACUCGAGACCAUUCUCUGGGGCCCAGUGAGGCGAGAGGCAGAACGAAGGCCUCCUCGUUAGGCCCCAUCCCGGCCUCUGGCCGGAACUGAUCGGGAGAGUCACACGUGCACGGUUUAGGGUCUAGAUAAUCAACAAAACAAUGAGUCAAGUCCCAACGUAUAGUAUUUGCUGAUUUCUACAGUGUAAAUAGCCCUAUCACAGCCAAGGGCAAGGUGCCAUGAUGUCACCGAACCGACUUGGAAAGAGAGGCACAGUAACACAUCAUUCUGUGGUAUUUCCGACCUACAGGCACAAUAAACAAUUUAUUCUCAGCAUAAAAUCUAUUAUUCCUUAAAAUGUCAAGAAAGUAAAGCUUUGACCAGAAGGAGGAAAGUGGGCCUGUGUGCUCCCAUCUCAGGAACAGGAGGCCGAGUGUAUGCUGGGAACGUCAGAGUGACAGCUAUCCAGACACCAGAAACAGGACCCGAUUCCUGCCCCAGGGCUUAUAACAAAGGCUCCAACCAGGCUUUUUUCCAAAAAUGUUUUUAAUUCCGACAUCCAUCUUAAUGGCUUACGGUAGCCUAAUUUAGCCAGUAGUUUGUUAUACUAAAAAUGGAAGCUAAUGAUUUCAGCUAAAAACAACUAAGUCAGUGCCAUCAAAGUAUAUUGUAAGAAACUGAU